GAUGAAGAACGUAGCGAAAUGCGAUAAGUAAUGCGAAUUGCAGAAUUCAGUGAGUCAUCGAAUCUUUGAACGCACAUUGCGCCCUGUGGUAUUCCGCAGGGCAUGCCUGUUCGAGCGUCAUUUCAACCCUCAAGCCCCGCUUGGUGUUGGGCCCCGCCCGCUGUGGCCGGCCCUAAAGACAGUGGCGGCGCCGCCUGGCCCUCAGCGUAGUACAUCUCUCGCUCCAGGGUCCGGUGGCCGCCUGCCAGAACCCCCCAACUCUGUGGUUGACCUCGGAUCAGGUAGGGAUACCCGCUGAACUUAAGCAUAUCAAUAAGCAGGA
RNAcentral lists this unclassified non-coding RNA (322 nucleotides) under soil metagenome. Its description in RNAcentral is "partial contains 5.8S ribosomal RNA, internal transcribed spacer 2, and large subunit ribosomal RNA". The stretch from base 1 to 120 matches the Rfam family "5.8S ribosomal RNA", at positions 35 to 154 of the family's 154-position model. The record is from RNAcentral.